RNAcentral lists this non-coding RNA (378 nucleotides) under Solanum lycopersicum (tomato). Its description in RNAcentral is "Eukaryotic small subunit ribosomal RNA". It matches the Rfam family "Eukaryotic small subunit ribosomal RNA", at positions 55 to 427 of the family's 1831-position model. Lineage: Eukaryota; Viridiplantae; Streptophyta; Magnoliopsida; Solanales; Solanaceae. The record is from Rfam by way of RNAcentral.
AAUAUAAUAAACAAUGAUUUAAUUACAAAAUAGUACUAUACAUACGCUCAUUAGAUCAGUUAUAGUUUGUUUGAUGGUAUCUACUACUCGAAUAACCAUAGUAAUUCUAGAGCUAAUACGUGCAACAAACCCCGACUUCUGGAAGGGAUGCAUUUAUUAGAUAAAAGGUCGACGCGGGCUCUGCCUGUUGCUGCGAUGAUUCAUAAUAACUCGAUGGAUCGCACAGCCAUCGUGCCUGCGACGCAUCAUUCAAAUUUCUUCCCUAUCAACUUUCGACGGUAGGAUAGUGGCCUACCAUGGUGGUGACGGGUGACAGAUAAUUAGGGUUCGAUUCUGGAGAGGGAGCCUGAGAAACGGCUACCACAUCCAAGGAAGGCA